GACGAACGCUGGCGGCGUGCUUAACACAUGCAAGUCGAACGGAAAGGCCCUGCUUUUGUGGGGUGCUCGAAUGGCGAACGGGUGAGUAACACGUGAGUAACCUGCCCUUGACUUUGGGAUAACUUCAGGAAACUCGGGCUAAUACCGGAUAGGAGCUCCUGCUGCAUGGUGGGGGUUGGAAAGUUUCGGCGGUUGGGGAUGGACUCGCGGCUUAUCAGCUUGUUGGUGGGGUAGUGGCUUACCAAGGUUUUGACGGGUAGCCGACCUGAGAGGGUGACCGGCCACAUUGGGACUGAGAUACGGCCCAGACUGCUACGGGACGCAGCGGUGGGGAAUAUUGCAGAAUGGGCGGAAGCCUGAUGCAGCAACGUCGCGUGCGGGAUGACGGCCUACGGGUUGUAAACCGCUUUCGCCUGUGACGAAGAGUGAGUGACGGUAAUGGGUCAAGAAGCAACGGCUAACUACGUG
Molecule: ribosomal RNA, 468 nt
Filed under: uncultured bacterium
Lineage: Bacteria
Description: partial 16S ribosomal RNA
Rfam family: Bacterial small subunit ribosomal RNA
Source: RNAcentral